AUAAAGUCGAAUAUUACGAACCACAGUUUAAAAUUCAAAGAUCUUGGCGGUGUCUUAUAAAACCAGGGGAACCUGUCUCAUAACUCGAUAAUCCACGAUUACCCAACCUCUUUUCGAAUUACAGCUUGUGUACUGCCGUUGUAAGCAUACCUUUAAAAGAAUAAGUGUGCCACUAUGAUCAAUUUAAACAAUUAGCUCAAAUACAUCAGGUCAAAGUGCAGUAAAUAAAGAGGUGAUGAUGGGUUACAACCUAAAAAAAGACAUAUAGACUAAAAUAUAAAAAAUUUUAUAAAAGUGGACUUGGCUGUAAUAAAUUAAUAUAACAAAAAAAUGAAUAAAUAUCUAAGACAUGUACACAUCGCCCG
This 365-nucleotide ribosomal RNA is filed under the name Perionychella kershawi. Its description in RNAcentral is "partial 12S ribosomal RNA". Lineage: Eukaryota; Metazoa; Annelida; Clitellata; Crassiclitellata; Megascolecidae. The record is from RNAcentral.